UGGGGGAUAUUGCACAAUGGGCGAAAGCCUGAUGCAGCGACGCCGCGUGGGGGAUGAAGGCCUUCGGGUUGUAAACUUCUUUUGCUCUGAACAAGGCGCACCAUGGGGUGUGUUGAGUGUAGGGGUUGAUUAGCGCCGGCUAACUACGUGCCAGCAGCCGCGGUAAUACGUAGGGCGCGAGCGUUGUCCGGAAUUAUUGGGCGUAAAGGGCUUGUAGGUGGCUGGUUGCGUCUGACGUGAAAGCUCAUGGCUUAACUGUGGGUUUGCGGUGGGUACGGGCUGGCUUGAGUGCAGUAGGGGAGGCUGGAAUUCCUGGUGUAGCGGUGGAAUGCGCAGAUAUCAGGAGGAAUACCGGUGGCGAAGGCGGGUCUCUGGGCUGUUACUGACACUGAGGAGCGAAAGCAUGGGGAGCGAACAGG
This 419-nucleotide ribosomal RNA is filed under the name bacterium. RNAcentral describes it as "partial 16S ribosomal RNA". It matches the Rfam family "Bacterial small subunit ribosomal RNA", at positions 355 to 776 of the family's 1533-position model. The record is from RNAcentral.